AUACCUUUUUCGGCCUUUUCGCUAAGAUCAUGUGCAGUAUUUGUUCUUAUUAGUUUAAUAUUUGAUAUGUGGACCAUUAAUCCACAUGAUAUUAAAUUAAAAUUUUUUUAUGGGAAAGACUCACAACAAUAGCUUGCACCCAUUCUGAAACCUGCGACCUCAACGGAAUAUGGGUUAGAGAGAGAUGCUCCUCCUUCUCUCUAACCUCU
RNAcentral lists this small nuclear RNA (209 nucleotides) under Cephalotus follicularis. Its description in RNAcentral is "U2 spliceosomal RNA". The stretch from base 1 to 144 matches the Rfam family "U2 spliceosomal RNA". Rfam says of the family: U2 is a small nuclear RNA (snRNA) component of the spliceosome (involved in pre-mRNA splicing). Complementary binding between U2 snRNA (in an area lying towards the 5' end but 3' to hairpin I) and the branchpoint sequence (BPS) of the intron results the bulging out of an unpaired adenosine, on the BPS, which initiates a nucleophilic attack at the intronic 5' splice site, thus starting the first of two transesterification reactions that mediate splicing. Lineage: Eukaryota; Viridiplantae; Streptophyta; Magnoliopsida; Oxalidales; Cephalotaceae. The record is from Rfam by way of RNAcentral.